This 467-nucleotide ribosomal RNA is filed under the name uncultured bacterium. Its description in RNAcentral is "partial 16S ribosomal RNA". It matches the Rfam family "Bacterial small subunit ribosomal RNA", at positions 29 to 507 of the family's 1533-position model. The record is from RNAcentral.
ACGAACGCUGGCGGCGUGCUUAACACCUGCAAGUCGAACGGAAAGGCCCUGCUUUUGUGGGGUGCUCGAGUGGCGAACGGGUGAGUAACACGUGAGUAACCUGCCCUUGACUUUGGGAUAACUUCAGGAAACUGGGGCUAAUACCGGAUAGGAGCUCCUGCUGCAUGGUGGGGGUUAGAAAGUUUCGGCGGUUGGGGAUGGACUCGCGGCUUAUCAGCUUGUUGGUGGGGUAGUGGCUUACCAAGGCUUUGACGGGUAGCCGGCCUGAGAGGGUGACCGGCCACAUUGGGACUGAGAUACGGCCCAGACUCCUACGGGAGGCAGCAGUGGGGAAUAUUGCACAAUGGGCGGAAGCCUGAUGCAGCAACGCCGCGUGCGGGAUGACGGCCUUCGGGUUGUAAACCGCUUUCGCCUGUGACGAAGCGUGAGUGACGGUAAUGGGUAAAGAAGCACCGGCUAACUACGUG